RNAcentral lists this ribosomal RNA (494 nucleotides) under uncultured bacterium. RNAcentral describes it as "bacterial SSU rRNA". It matches the Rfam family "Bacterial small subunit ribosomal RNA", at positions 29 to 517 of the family's 1533-position model. The record is from RNAcentral.
AUUGAACGCUGGCGGCGUGCCUAACACAUGCAAGUCGAGCGGUAACAGGUGUAGCAAUACAUGCUGACGAGCGGCGGACGGGUGAGUAACGCUUGGGAAUCUGCCUGUUAGUGGGGGACAACCCGGGGAAACUCGGGCUAAUACCGCAUACGCACUACGGUGGAAAGCCGGGGACCGCAGGGCCUGGCGCUAACAGAUGAGCCCAAGUCGGAUUAGCUAGUUGGUAGGGUAACGGCCACCAAGGCGACGAUCCGUAACUGGUCUGAGAGGACGACCAGUCACACCGGAACUGAGACACGGUCCGGACUCCUACGGGAGGCAGCAGUGGGGAAUAUUGGACAAUGGGCGAAAGCCUGAUCCAGCGACGCCGCGUGGGUGAAGAAGGCCUGCUGGUUGUAAAGCCCUUUCGGUGGGGAAGAAAAGCCUCGAGUUAAUACCUCGGGUCUUGACGUAACCCAUAGAAGAAGCACCGGCUAACUCUGUGCCAGCAGCCG